Molecule: ribosomal RNA, 253 nt
Filed under: uncultured bacterium
Lineage: Bacteria
Description: partial 16S ribosomal RNA
Rfam family: Bacterial small subunit ribosomal RNA
Source: RNAcentral
GACAGAGGAUGCAGGCGUUAUCCGGAAUGAUUGGGCGUAAAGCGUCUGUAGGUGGCUUUUCAAGUCCGCCGUCAAAUCCCAGGGCUCAACCCUGGACAGGCGGUGGAAACUACCAAGCUAGAGUAUGGUAGGGGCAGAGGGAAUUUCCGGUGGAGCGGUGAAAUGCAUUGAGAUCGGAAAGAACACCAACGGCGAAAGCACUCUGCUGGGCCGACACUGACACUAAGAGACGAAACCUAGGGGAGCAAAUGGG